UAGGUGAAUUCUCAUGAUGCAGAUGA
RNAcentral lists this non-coding RNA (26 nucleotides) under Homo sapiens (human). The record is from RNAcentral. Lineage: Eukaryota; Metazoa; Chordata; Mammalia; Primates; Hominidae.